UAGCUUACGAAAGCUUAUGCUCAGAUAAAUGUUAGUCUCUAAGGUGCCACAAGUACUCCUUUUCUUUUUGCGAAAACAGACUAACACGGCUGCUACUCUGAAACAUGUUAUUCCUGGCAGUAUCUGCAUCUGCAAGGUUUGGAUUCCCCUCUGCGGAAGGUAGUUGCUGCUAAAUGCUAUCUUUGGAGAUGCCAGCUUUCACUUAGUGGCAAAUGGGAUUUGAUCUCUGCUUCACACGAAGACAGGGCCAUCAUUGGAUAAAAGAGAAACAAAGAUAGAAAGGGGAAAGAGUUGGAAUGCAAGUUCUGAGACUGGGCGUUCAGAGCCACCAUUUCCAGUGCCUAGGAAAAUAAGCUUGUCAUCUUGCCAUUCUCACUAUUGCCAUCCACAUGAGUCACACCUCACUGCUUUUCUUCUGCCUGGAGUCUUGUCUUGGGGGGUUUUUUGGCUUUGCAAUUCACCUCUUGAAGCUUCCAUGUUUAAUCAUUAUUUCUAGUCUGUAUGACUGUAAAGAGAGCUUUCUGAACUUAAGAUAGCACAGCCUUGACUCAAUAGGCCUGCAGGUAAGGUUGAAACAAUGGCUCGAAGCAGGUGCCAUGAACGCAUUCAAUUGGAUGUUAAGUCAGAAAUUAUUGAUCAUAUUUUAAAUAGCAACACACAAUAUUUCACUGCAGAGAAAUAUCAAGCUAAUGUUUUUAUUCCAUGUAGCUGAAUGUUGCAUACAUGUGAAAGGAUACUGCUAUAAGCUUUCAAGUUCAACCAGAUUUAUUUUUUGUGUACUGUGUAUAUGAAUUAACUCCAAUCCACCAUCACAUCCUGCAGAAUUACAACAUCUUGCCUUCCAGAAAGUACUUGGUGAAUUGAGUGAUAAUAUUUUAAAAUUUUCAUUAUAACCAGAUGGCUAAUUUCCCCCAGCCCUUCAUUUCAGUCUCCAAUCUUUGAAAUAUGCCCCCACUACUUAACCUUACAGAACUCAGGUCCCAGUUGUCUCUGAACUAGACCAAGGAUUUAAUGCCCCAAUGUGAUGUCCUGUUAGAGGAUCUGUGCUAACCUGCAAGAAGUAUUCUCUUUGUUAGGUAAACAAAGUGCUGAUCACUGUCGCUAUAGAUCCCACAAUAUUUUUCACAAGAACAAGUAUGUUAAUUUCAUCAUCCUGGCCAAACUUCAGUUUAAUUCUGUCUCCCUAAAUUUCUCCCUUUGCUUCUGUGUUACAGAAAUUAUUCUGUCAUUGCAGACUUGUUUUUCUUGAAGGGAAUGAAAACCAUGUCUAUAGUCUAUACAUCAUUUCCGCCAAUAGAUGGUGCUAGGCGACAGUCAAACAUUUAUUUGGCUUCUAAUUUCCCAACACCCACAAACUUUCUUUGACAUGGGCUAACAAAAGAUAAAAUCCACAUUACAGGCUGCAGCUGAAGGUGCUGAUUAGAAAGUCUUAAAGAUAAUGUUCCAAUUUACUUUCUCUCUGUAGGGAAAAAGGUAGUAAGAAACAUACUUCAAAAUAUGAGUCUGUAACUAUGGUAUGCGUUUACUUACUGCUUUUCAUUCAUAGAUCUCAAAAUGCAUUUAAAAAUAAGCAUCAUCCUGUUUUAUAAAUUAAGUAAUUGAAGUACCAAGAGGUUAAGACCCAAGUUUCCGAAAAUGGCCCCUAAUUUUAGGUGCCUCAGUUUUUGGGUGUGCAAUUUAAACACUUGGGGCUGUCUUUUUGGUCACACUGAGUACCCACUACUCCAGGUGAAGUCAGUGGAACAUGCAGGUUCUCAGGAGUUGUGAGAAAUCAGGGGCCACUUUUGGAAAUCUGACCUAAGUGACUUGCUCAGUUAAAAGUCGCUGAUUUAGUCCUUAUCAGCAAGGGAAAGAGAGAGUGAGUAAACCAAACUAACCUUCUACAUGCAUAAUGUUAUCUUUUUUUAAAGACACAAUUCAAACUUAAUGCAAACCCCCAAAUCAGAACAAUCUCAUGAUGGGGAAAAUUUGGACCCGGAUUCAAAUGUGAAAAUUCCAGCACAGGCUCAUUUCUAAUUCGGAUAUGACGAAAGUGGGGGAGUAUAUGCUGAUCAUUCAAAUAAAUGUAAAAGGAAAAAAACCCAAGAUGCUGUUGAAAAAUGAAUUCAAAAUUAUUUGUAUAAAUUAACAUUGUAGCAUCUCCUCAUUCCAUCAUAAGCCAAAGAGAAAAAGAUGGUCAUGCACACGUGCCUGAUUCCCACAAUAACUAAACAUGGCCACGGUUCUUUUUGCAAAAAUCAACAUCUCACAGUAGAGAAAUUAUCUUGACGUGGGCCUUUGACUUAGACUUUAAAAAGAUCAUCUUUCCAUCUGCACACAAUUCAGAAUUUGCAUUUGACAGACACGAGAACUCCGCAUAACCUGAACAGUAGAAAAGGAUUACAGUAACUGCAGCAAAAUUUAGGAAAGUUUGAGCCAUCCAAAAAAACCGAAAAAACAACCCUCAAACAUAAAUAAAACUAAAAUGCCCUGCUCUAAACUGAGAUGAGAAAGACAUGGGUGUUUUAGCAGCAGUAAUAGUAGUAAUUUAUUUUAUGGUAGUGUCUAAUGACUCCGAGGCCCCAUUGUGCAACAUGCUGUACAAACAAAAACAAGAGAUUGUUCCUGUCCCACAGAGUUUACAAUCUAGAAAAAGACAAAACAGACAAAGGAAGGACUAAUAUCCCCAUUUUACUGAGGGGAUACAAUGAGACCAAAUGAGCCACCCAAAGUCAUAAGCAGAGCUGAGAACUGGACCCAGAUUUCCUGAAUCCAACGCCAGGCCUCACCGUGACACCAUCCGCCCUCAGCGUAUGAUGAGUGUUAUAACAAUUCUGCUGCAUUUCCACAGCAGCCAAAACCUGAGACAGAGGAGGCAACAACUCCUCUGAGGGCCCAAUCCUGAUAGCACUAAGCACCUAUC
This is a long non-coding RNA of Dermochelys coriacea (leatherback sea turtle), 2902 nucleotides long. RefSeq lists it as uncharacterized. The transcript is spliced from 3 exons. The record is from RefSeq and is a predicted model, not a curated record. Lineage: Eukaryota; Metazoa; Chordata; Testudines; Dermochelyidae.